UUGUAACGAGUGCCAAUAAAGACCAUUAAAAGGCCUCUGCGUCUGAGUCCUCUCUGAACCAUCUUGUCAGUCGCAUUCAGUUUAGCUGUGCUCAAAACAUAAAUAACAGGGUUGUUAUCACUAUAUAUUGUUACAGAGGGGGCAUAAAACAAAUAGUCUCUAAACCUGUCUGUAACAACCCAUUUGAGUGCUAAAAACUCAAGCUUCCCUUAAUGUAAGUGGUAGUUUUUUUCUGCUGGUGUCAAUGUUUGUGAACCAUACCCUAUCACUCUGAGUUUGCCUUCCUGCCACUGGUAUAACACUGCUCCCAGUCCUUGUUCUGAAGCAUCAAUAUGGAGAAUGAAAGGAUCUUCAAACCUUGGAUAUGCAAUUACAGGUGGGUUAGUCAAGACAUCCACUAAAUAGUUCAGAGCUUUCUGGUGACUAUCACGCCACACUAUUUUCUGAUGUGGGGGGAGCUGCCCUGCCCCUGCUGACUGGAAGGUGGGCUUUGACUUGGGAUAUAGAGUUGCAUCUGUUGAAAGCAGGUCAUACAGGCAUUUUACAUGACGAGAGAAAUCUUGCACAUAGCGUCUAUAAUACCCCAGAAAACCCAGAAGUUUGGGCAGCUCUCUGAUGUUUGUAGCGGGUUUUGUCUUUAGCACUUGUACAGCCGCAAUUUCUUUCUCAUCCAUCCUAUAGCCUUCAGCUGAGAUCACUUUGCCUAUGUAACGUACCUCAUUUUUGAACAGGUCACAUUUGUCUGGCCUCAGCUUAAUACCCCAAGUUUGCUGUCGUUUGAGGACAGCCCUCACAUCCUCAACAUGCUGUGUGAAAGUUUUACUGUAAAUUAGGACAUCAUCUAAGUCAUUUAAGCUUUGAGGUCAUGGCACGUCCAUCCAUCACAACCUCUGCCAGUUUCCCAAAGUUUUCUGCCUAUCCCCUGCUCUGCACCCUCUUGCCCAAUGUGUGUCAAUGCCGCACUUAAAACAAUGGUUGCAGUCCUUUUUGUCUUGCUGACAUGCUACACAUUGUCUCUUUGAUUUGUUAAAGGCAUUAGCUGGAGCUUUGGUCUGGUCGUCAUCAACAGUUUUUCUCCCACGCUGGACAGUUUGCACAAGUGAUGCUACUUGACCUGUGAGCUCCCUAAUUGCUGUGUUACUCUCUUCCAUUUUUGGCAAGAGCAGCUCAUCACUACUUCUCUCAUCCUGUAGAUAUAUCCACAUCUCCGUUCUUAUGUUAUCAUUGAUCAAACUUGUUAUGAUGGAUUGAGAACAUUGACUAUGAACUAGCUCUCUGUUAUAUUUCAGGCCAGAUUGUGCACACUCAGAUGAAAACAAGACCUUUUGGCGCAGAUCAAGUACCUGGACCAGAAAAUCAAGUGCUGGUUCACCAGAUCCCUGUACAGCUUUUGUCAGUUGUUGAUACAAUAGAGUUGCAUCUUUUUCUGCAUAGUGGGCUCUUAAUAUUUGUCAGAGAGUGGCUAAAGUUAAAUCUGUUUUCCCCUCCAAAUAGCUCCUCAAUUUCAAAAUGGGAUCUACAGCACGUAUCACAGCCUCCAAAAUUUCCACUUCUGGAUAACCUUUUCUUAAACCACUUUCAAUCUGGUGUUCAAGGCUGCUAUAGCUCAAUGGGUCUUUUGAUGUUGACUCAGUGUGGCAAUAUAUAGUUCAGUAACAAUCAGAUGGGCUGCAGUUCCACCCAAUCACAGUGGGAGACUGCCACAUAAAGGCGGGCGUAAAGCACCUGUCAGUCCUUUGGUUGCCGGAGGCUGGGUCACUCCUGUGCUUCCUCCAUUUCCGCGUCCGUGUGGUUACAGGUCCACUUGGGUGUUGCUGCUGGCUGCGCGCUGUUCACCUCUCUGUGCCACUCACUGCCUGCCGCUGGUCGCUCUCGGGGAGCGUUGAUCCUCCCGUUCCACGCUGUGUUGGCCGGGAUCGCCUGAUCGGUAUGUAGUGCAGUGGUUUUAGCUUCUUCCUCCAGCCAUUCAUAAGUUGCUCAUUGUUUGUUCGCUUCAUCGUAGGGCGACUGACCGUAACGGCGCAGCGCCGACAAAUCCGCUCCUAGAACCGCUGCUGCUUUGCUUCUGCUCUGUUUCCACUUCUUUCCCUCAGUUGAAGAGGUUGUUGGGUCUGGUUGCUGUGCCUGAUUGGAGCUGUGUGUUUGCGGAACUGAUCGCCUCGCUUGCGUCGGCAUUCGCCGCUCCGCCAGGUGCUGAGCCUACGGUGGUGGAUUGGUGUCCUGGUCACGGUGUCCCCUUUUUGUUGUGUUAGCACUUUGUAGCUUCUUUGUUUUGUUUACUUUGAUUUGCUUCACGUGUGGUGUUCCUGGGAUCCCCUUUUCUUUUGGAUACGGUUUUCCGCUGUAGGUCUCGGCACUGAUUGGUUCCCCUUAUAUGUCCCCUUACGUGAGUAAUUCUUUUUAUAGUAUUUUUAAAACAGAAAUUUGUAUAAAUAAAAGUAUUUUGUAUUAUCAAACUGCCGUCUCUGUCUCGUUGCAUAACGAACCUCAGUGCCUUGCUUUAUUUGGGUUAGUCGACUUAUAAGAAAUCCCUGGGUGAAAUUCCCAGGGUGGCGUUGUCUGGCAAUUUGAGAACAGAGACGUGCGUUCUGUGUUUUUGUUUUUUUUUCAUUUGUUUUAAAAGAAAAAUUGUGAUUUUGUUAAUGUAAGUGUCUGUGCCUGACCUGUGUCUAUUUUCUUUCUUUCUCUUCCUCCGAGGCAAAGCAGCAGCUGGUUUUGUGGACCUGCAACAAACCCUUUCCCCUUGUUCCUGGUCUCCUCCUCACGGUAGGGAAGGUUGUAGCUGGUAUAGGUUUAGUUAUGGAGGCAGAACUGCAGGAACUGAGGGAUUUAGUUGCUCAGCUAAGAGCAGACAACGAGAGGAUGAGACAGGAACAGGUAGCGGCCAUGCCUGGCCCUAGUACAGUGCCCCCAGUUUCGCUUGCGCCCACUGCACCCUCCUUUGCCAGUGCUCCUUCAACGGAGAGACUGAUUUUUGUGCCCAGAGACAGAAAAUGUCCCACAU
Solea senegalensis (Senegalese sole) is the source of this 3004-nucleotide long non-coding RNA. RefSeq lists it as uncharacterized. Lineage: Eukaryota; Metazoa; Chordata; Actinopteri; Pleuronectiformes; Soleidae. The record is from RefSeq and is a predicted model, not a curated record. The transcript has 3 exons.